AACACUGUUAACCUGCGGUACCUGCGGAAGGAUCAUUACCAGAGAGCCUUUUGGCACUCCAACCCAUUGUGAACAUACCUAUCGUUCCCUCGGCGGGCUCAGCGCGCGGGGCCUCCGGGCUUCCGGGCGUCCGCCGGGGACAACCAAACCCUGAUUUACUACGUGUAUCUCUGAGGGGCGAAAGCCCGAAAACAAAAUAAAUCAAAACUUUCAGCAACGGAUCUCAGAUCGGAAGAGCAC
Molecule: unclassified non-coding RNA, 240 nt
Filed under: soil metagenome
Description: partial contains 5.8S ribosomal RNA, internal transcribed spacer 2, and large subunit ribosomal RNA
Source: RNAcentral